AGCUACUAGAGGACGCCCGUUCCAAUGGCAACUCUGCCAAGGCGCCUAUGAGAGCCUCUUGGCUUUUACCUGGUCUGCGAGAAAUCAAACUUUGGGCACAAGUCAUGAAGCCGACAAGCCCGGGAGACACAGUGUCAGAAUUACAAGGUCUCGCAUCUGGGGCUCGAUCUCGUGCAGAGGAGCAUUUCCGAAGACACUGGCCGCUCCCACAAUGGCUCCGAAGAACCCAGCGACCAGCGGGUUCAUGAGUUUGUUGGGGCUGUCCACUCGGUACCAGCUGCGCAGGGAUGUCAGGACAAAGAAACAAGUUGCCUGGUUCCAGCCCUGCUUCAGCACGGGGCCUGUGGGGCCCCGGUAAGUCCCGGUGUUCCCGCACAAUCUCCUAACCCUGUGGAAGAAUCCCCUGUACUUGGAUUUGGAGAGGUCUGGCCAUGGAUUAACUUCACCUUGAUGGUCUCCAUGGGACAUAGGACCACCACGGCCUCGGCCACGCUAGCUCACUGGCCGCACCGCUGCCCGCCUUGCUGUUCACCAGUCCCUGGGCAUCCCGCAUCUGGUUGCUGAGGAACGCCUGACGCCGCCUUGUGGAUGAAGCCGCAGAGCAGGGAGCUGAGGCUGCGGCCCAGGCCCAGGCUGCCUUGGCUGCGACUGUGUGCCUGCAGGCCCCAUGCCCGGUAUCCGGUGGAUGCGAGUGCUAGUCCAGCUGCAGCUGCAUCUUCACGAACUCGGUGGGGAACGGGAUGCAGAUUUUUUUUUUCUUUUCCUUCCUUCCUUCCUUCCUUCCAACUUCCUUCCUUCCUUCCCCUUUCUUUCUUUCUUUUUUUUUUUUUUUUUUUUUUGACAGAAUUUUGCUCUUGUCCCCCAGGCUGGAGUGCAGUGGCGCGAUCUUGGCUCACUACAACCUGGAUUCAAGCGAUUCUCCUGCCUCAGCCUCCCGAGUAGCUGGGAUUACAGGCAUGUGCCACCAUUCCCGGCUAAUUUUUUUGUCUUUUUAGUAGAGACGGUGUUUCCCCAUGUUGGUCAGGCUGGUCUCAAACGCCUGACUCAGAUGAUCCGCCCGCCUCGGCCACCCAAAGUGCUGAGAUUACAGGCUUGAACCACCGCGCCUGGCCCUGUGAUGUAGAUUUUGAUGCUGCCAGCCAGGCUGCCUGCCGGGAUCGCCUGCCCUGGAGCAGGAGCAUCAGCCGUGCGUUCCAGGACGCAGGCAUGGCAUGACCGGCAGGAGGCGGAGUGCCCGGCGUCUCUUGGGAUCGGAGCCUCCUGAAUUCCACGCUGGGACCUUAAUUUGGUUUUAACACAAAUAAAGAUCUCACAUAAAGAUAAAA
Homo sapiens (human) is the source of this 1325-nucleotide long non-coding RNA. Ensembl annotates it as long intergenic non-protein coding RNA 2987. The record is from Ensembl. Lineage: Eukaryota; Metazoa; Chordata; Mammalia; Primates; Hominidae.